AAAUCCUCGCGGUAAUCCACACUCUCUUGCGAGAGUUGGGGUGUGCGUCGCGUUUGUAGCACUGUGAACCGGUUGGGUAUGGUGGCUGGGCGUCUGCUCGCCCGGGGUGUGUGUCGGCCUCCGGCAUACUUAAAUCGAACGGGAGCCCGGUGGCCGCCGUUUGGGCCUCGUGCGAGUUCGACGCCUCGAUCGCCAUACUGUUUUUCAUGACGGUUGGUACGUGUGUGUCUGAUGGUAAGCGGAGGUUAAAUGUUGUGCAGAGUACAACUUCUGACGGUGGAUCUCUAGGCUCGUGCCUCGAUGAAGAACGCAGCAAGCUGCGAUACGUAGUGUGAAUUGCAGAAUUCAGUGAAUCAUCGAGUCUUUGAACGCAAAUGGCGCUCCCGGGGUCUCCCCGGGAGCAGGUCUGUCCGAGUGCCCGCCGACAAACAUUCGCAAUCCGCUCCGUGCGGUAGCGAGAGUGAGGAGUUGCGGUGGUGUGGUGUUGCACCAGUGCAUCCCUUGAAACGUGUGGAGUGCGCGUGUACCAGUGUGCAUGUCUGCCCGCUCGGGUGCCCGCUUCAACAGCUAAAGUGUUGUGCGGCAGGCUCCCCGUCGGGCCUUCACGCUGUACACCGUACGGUAGUGAGAGUACAAUUCCGGACCUCGGAUCAGGCCAGACCACCCGCUGAAUAAGUCAAUCGG
RNAcentral lists this ribosomal RNA (684 nucleotides) under Igernella notabilis. RNAcentral's name for it is "eukaryotic LSU rRNA". The stretch from base 266 to 420 matches the Rfam family "5.8S ribosomal RNA". Lineage: Eukaryota; Metazoa; Porifera; Demospongiae; Dendroceratida; Dictyodendrillidae. The record is from RNAcentral.